CCUGAACACCAAUAGUUGCGCUUAGAUUUUAACGACGAUUUACUUAUUCGAUUGGAUCCAUUUCCAUAGGCAAAGUACAUUGAAAAUCGUUGGUAAAUCUAAAUUGAAGAGUCAAAAUAAUCGAUAACAAUUAAACUUCGAUUCAAAUUAACUCAUCUUAUACUUAUUCAAUCAUGUGGAUAAUUAAUCUCUCAUUGAUUGUAACCAGCGAUUUAAUCAUAUGGCAAAAAAUGGUUUUUAAUCAACAAAGUUAAUAGCUAUUAACCGUGGCCUUAACAUUGAAUUGAUGGUCGCUGAUAACAAUGGAACAGGAAAACCAAUAGAUGUUGAAUUAGAUUACAAAAAGCAAAUAGAUAUUGAAAUAUAUCGGUCGCUGUAUCUUCCAAGGCGAGAACACUUAGAAACCAAUUAACUGCGAAAAAUGGUAACAAUGAGACACCCGAUCGAAGUGCAGGUUACAAUUAACGGAACUUGGAUCAUAUUAACUCACCAUUAUGAGUAUUGAAACAGGCACGAUGAAGGAAAACAUCAUUCCACCUUCAAUGGACAUCCAGCAACUAAUUAAUUAAUUAGUGAUUAAGGAGGAGGAAAAAAAAAAUAAAGAUGAGAAAACAAGAUUAGUUUUUUUUUCUCAAUGCUAAUUAACAUGGUUAAUUAAUCCAGAUGACUCAUAAUCAAUCACUACCUUGAAAUGUUAUCAUGAUUUCAAGGUUAUCUUAUUUGUAGCUUAAGUUAAUUUAUCAUCUCCAUACAAUAACAAAAUAACCAAGAGCAAUGACAAGAUGAAGGAAAUCAAUGAAUUAACUGAUUCUAAUUAAUAACUAAUUUGUUAUUCAUUGACCUAGAUAAAUGUUUAUCAUGACGAUGAUGAAGAAAAUGAGGAAACAAAGUGAAGACAAAAGAGGAAAAUAUAAAGAGAUGAAAAUGAAGAUGAAUUCUCACCAUGAAGCCAAUGAAUUAAAAUUUUCAAAACGAAUCCAUUGUUAAUAAUAUCAUGAUGAAAUUCUGAAUAUACUAGGAAACUCCUUCAUCACCCGAAUUAAGUCAAUAUUCAUGAUAAUAUUAAUGACAUAAUUCAGUGUCAAUGUAUUAUUUUGAUUAUUAUUUGGAAACUGAUUGGAAGAUCAAUUCUGAUUCAAUGAAUAUGAAUCAAUGUGCAUAAACCAGCAAAAGCUUUUUUCAUUUAUGCUUAUAUUUAUAUCACUUUUCAUCAGAUUCAUCAGCAUAAGCUUUUUUUAUCAUCCAAGUAGAAAGAAUCAGAAGAUGAUAAAGAGAGAUGAUGAUGAUGAUGAUAAAAGAAAAGGCAAAACAAAGAUGAAGAGAAGAAAGUUCAGAGAAAGAGAAUUGAGAAACUUGAUGAGCAAUGAGACUCUCUCUCUCUCUCUCUCUCUCUCUCUCUCAGUUGAAUAUUUCCACCAUCGUCCUCAUGAACUUAACUGAACCGUUUCAGAACAGAUAAGAAAAAAGGAGUUAGAAUAUUAUCUUUAUUCUUUGCUCUUCUUUCUGUGUUAUUUUUUAUUCUCAUGGCUUCAUGCUGAGUAUUUUUCUCUUUUCUCACCAAUAGCAGCAGAUUCCAAGAUGAUGGUGAUGAUCAUGAAGACGAAAUAAGCAACAACAACCGAGAGAAAAAAAAAGGAAGAAGACAAACAAAACUCGGAGUUCGGAUGAACCGUUGAAGAAGAAAACUUUCAAUUGCAAGAAAUCAUCCUGAAAGAAAUUCAGUGUUUCGGUUUCAUUGUCAUGCGAAUACGAUAAAUUUCAACAAUACAACAUGUCGAAAAAUAAACAAAUUUUUGAUUGAUUUUCAAUUGAUUAUUUACUUUGAAUUAAUUGUUAGCAUUUUCCACUGUUCAGUUUAUUGUCAUUCUCAUGAUUAACUUGUAACGGAAACAAUGAUAAUUUAUUGUCAAUAUUUUAACAUUAAGAUUCAUUUACCCUAA
This is a long non-coding RNA of Panonychus citri (citrus red mite), 1940 nucleotides long. RefSeq lists it as uncharacterized. The transcript is spliced from 4 exons. Lineage: Eukaryota; Metazoa; Arthropoda; Arachnida; Trombidiformes; Tetranychidae. The record is from RefSeq and is a predicted model, not a curated record.